CUGCUGCCAUUCAGCACUUUUUCUUGCUGGCUGAGGCGGGAACACUGGCCUGGUAUUUCGUGGUUUAUUUGCAUGACAUGCUCAGGUUCAGCCCCACUCUGUUUCUGCUUUUCUUGUAGGUCAGAGUCUACUCAUCCCUGUUUGGAGAUAAGCAGAAGACAACAGAAAUACCUUCCAAGGAAGCUGUGGACUAAGAGGAGACAAUACUGCAACUACAACCCUGUGAGUAUAGAGCAAAAAGGGGAGCUUCAUGCCUCUCAUGCACAACUCUUCAGCCCAGUUGACCUUUUUUCCCCCAAAGACCUAUGCUGUUGACACAUCUUUGCCUGACAAACCCUCAGAAGUCCCAGGUCAUUACUGUAGAGACUGUUGCCCCCCCAUAUUGCUGCAGCUUUGUGUUACAGUUAGCACCUACCUUUAGAAAACAAAAAAAACCCGAGGGCAAUUGUCCAGCCCUUUUUCCAACUUGCCACAAUUCUUUCCUUAUCCUGCUUCUGCCUUCCUGAGCACUCAGUGCUGAUUCCAGCUUGAUACCAUCAGAAGCACUGGGGACUCACUCCCCCUUCCACGACCUCUGCUGCCAGCAGAAGCACCAAAUUGGACUUGAUGCAAGACUAAAGCCCCUGGACCCUCAAAUUAAUUCUGCUUCACAGGGUGGGAUAAUCACUGAAAUUAGUUCGAGGUAUUUUUUUUCUCCUGAUCAGCACAGGCUGGAGAGAAUCUGUUACCUGCAAAGUUUGUCCCAAGGAUUAGAUAAGCUUUUUAGGGCACAGAUCCCCAAACUCCUCUUUUUCUUGCAACUUAGAGGCACUAUUUGGCAAGAGACAGCAGAGGAGCAACAUCCCACAUGCUGUUGGUGCUUUCAGGACGCUGCUGUGGCUCCCAGAGUUUAUCAAUGAACUCCUUGCACUGGAGCAGCAGUUUCCCACAGGCCCAGAGCACCCAGUGCUCUGUAACACCAGGGCACCCACAGCUCUGGCUGCCAUCCGGAGGGGAGCAAAGAGAAAUCUCAUCUAGCAAAGAGAAAUAACGUGAGCAGGAGGCGCUUCUGCCUCCUAAGCAGUAUCUCCAAAUAUCUUUAACUAUUGCAAAAGCAAGUAAACAAUAAUAAAUAUUGUUAUCUUGAGGGAGGCUGUUGACACCAACAUGCUCGACUUUGCAGGCUGAGUGCUGGCAGGGGCCAAGAGCAGCUCAGCGGAGGGGCAGUCCUGCUGCUAAGGCACUGUGACCCCCUCUGCUCGACUUUGCAGGAGACUCUGCAAGGAUAAGGGAUGAAGCUGGGCUCAAACAGUGUCUGAGCACUCAGCUGAUUCAUAUUGCAGACAGAAAAAGCUUUCACUGAAGAUUUGCUAACAGAAAGUCAAAAGUGCCACCCCAGCAAGGGUUCCGUGCCACCUCUCCCUAUGUCUCUUGGCAGUGAAAUUUGUUCUUUCACGUUUACUAGUUCUGGCAUUCAAUGCAAAUCAAACCCAACAGAAAACAAGUUUUUGCUUGCUCCUUCCUUUAUUUCUUUCCUCUUCCUCCUCCCUGAACUAUUUUUUCCUCAUAUUCCCUCUCCUUCAUGAACCAGCAGAACGCUGGGUCUGUUAAGGAAUUACACUGCCUUGGUAGAAACCCUGCAAAUCUACAUAAGCAGAAAAUCUUGUCACGUCUCCUCACAAAUUGAAAAGGAGAACUAAAUGAAAUCCCACUGGGAUGCUCUGGCUACCUCAGUGCAACAAGGUUCAGCUUAAGAUGCUUGUUUCACUUGCUGCAUUGCCUGGUUUUAAUCCAAUUUGGUUCGGGACACAUAAAAUAGCCGCUUUUCCGCCCUCCAGGAAGCAGCGAGUGCAACCAGAGCAGAGCAAAGUGCUGGCUGGUCCUGCCUCAUGUGCACACACCCCAAGCUGUGCUCACUUCUUGGCUCAUGCUUUAGCACUACCUUUUGUCAUCUGCAACAUUUUUGAUUGUGUUUGUCAAAAUGUCACCUGAGUCACUACCAACCAACAGCUCAAGUGCGACGGUUGGGGCUACGGCAGCAAAGCCCCCGUGAUGUGAAGGCCAGGAGCUGGCUGCUUGCUCAUCCCCUCUUGGUCACCCCAUGGAUUACCACAGCCUAACACCAGAUCAUCUCUGUUAGAGGGAGACAUAGAGGACAGCCCUCCUCUGAGAGCAGGGCUCUGACUCCAGCUUCCCCCUCCCCACCAGCCGCCCCUCCGACACCACACCUCCCCAGGGAGCAGCAGGGGCUGCAUUGUUUCCAUCCAAGCAGCCACCACAGCCAGCUCUGUCCAGCACUGUGCUGUCCCCCAGGCCUGCUUUUACAGGAAUUAAAAUUAAAAAAGGUGAUGCCCUGCAACAGCCUGGAGAGAAAAAUGUUAAGAAGUGCCCGUGCACAGCUCCGAGCAAGGCCCAGGCUGCAGGAGCCCCAGCACUGCCUGGCUUUACCUUCACCUCACCCCAGACUCACUGCAGGAACUGCCGCGGGGCCGCCCUGCUCCACAAGAACAAAAUCUUCCCAGAGACAGAGGCAGAAAUAGCCACAUAGCGGCUUCAUGCCUAAAACACCAGCAAAGCAGCUCAGCCUCUCAUGACAGCUGCCCUGCACAGUGAAGAGACACUGAUUUGUUCCUUCCUUCCAUCCCAGAACCUGCCCCUUUGACUCCAGACAGAGAUGAGCAAAUAUUUAAUUAACACGUUUGACCUUUUAUCAGCGCUCCAUGCUGAUGGCUUCCUGCACACCAGCUAGGUGUGCUUUCCUGCAGCCUGCUGCAAACCUGGAAACAGAACAGCGUUACAAGGUUUCUUCACAUAUCUUUGAACAUUUUCCGAAACUCUGGAUUUGAAAACUGAGAACAUGAAAGAGUCACCUUCCAUUAUUAUUUUAAUAGCAUUAAGUUUGUAUCUCUUAUUCCUGUUGAGUUGUAUAGAAGCAGAAAACAAGUGUUACCUAGAAAAUCAAAAGUCAAAGGAUUCAGAUCAAAACAUUUUAAUUCUUUUUCCUGUGUAUGUUUAAAAUUUUCCAGAUUUCUUGUGGUAAGAGAGGGUUAGAGUUGACUGAACAUAAAUGAUGCCUCAAAAUAGCUGAGAACAGAGAGCAGAGAGCAUCCUGCUCCUUCUGGUUUAGCUGGCAUUACCAGAGACCUCACAAUGUCAUUCUACCAGCCCUUAUUUUCCUGAUCAUUGUAAAAUGCCAAAAAUUCUCAUGUCAGUGAGUUAUUUUCAGUUUACAGGAUAUGCAGGUGUAUGGCCUGACCCCUUCCCUUCCCCUCACCUGGCCAGAGCAGGAUGGUUCAGCGAGGAUUCCUCAUUCAAUUAACACAUCCAUUAUUUCAGUCUGAAGCUCAGUGUGACUUGGAGGUAAUACAAAGCAGGAGAAACCUCACCUGCAUAAGGGAACACUUGGUUAUGUUCACAAGACAUGCACUGUAUGUCACUGAGACCUAUUUUUAAAGUACAGCAGCACCAGUUAUAUUUGAUAACUAUAAACAUUUUAUUCUUAUAUAAAAAUAUAGGAACAAAAUACUAUACAGAAAAAUAUAAAGUUAAGUCGAGAUCUUGUCAGUCCCUUUUAAGACAAACAGGCUCACACUGUGCAAGCCCCAGACUUUCAAAAAUAAAAUUAUCCUGGCAGUUGAAGUGGUGGCACGUCCAGAGGCAGAGCUGUGCUGAGGAAUAAGCUUCUAAUACAGGAAAUCUGUCUUGCAGCUUCCAACAUCCUUGCAAGUUUGCUUUUGUUACACAUAAAAUGGAACCCAAGUCCUCCUUCAUGGUCUGACCUGGAGAUAAACGUUCUCCCACCCCUCAGAGUAUUUACAGGAAGGUGCUAAGAGCCCACCUGGCCAGGACACAUCCCCCAGGCUGCGACCCCACCCCAUGGGCUCACAUUGACACAAACCAGUGGCUGCAGCACCCUCACACAAACACAACUGGAACCUCUCUGUCACCAGCUGCGAGCUGGAAACGAUGACUUAGGGAGGCAAAAGUCAGUGAAAGCAAGCUGAUGAAAUCCCUGAGCUUCUACCAGUUCCUCAAAACAGAAAAAAGCCAACUCCCCUCCCCCAGACAACAAAAGCAGCCAGCAUUCUUUUCCAAGGUACUGGCUGUUUCAGUACAUUCCUGUCUUUAAGGAAGGACACUGUGGACUGCAGCAGCCAACAGUGUAAGAAUCAUCUCCCUCCUCUUUACCUGUACUUCUCCAGUACUUUCAUUUUCCACAACCAAACUGUCCAAGUUUGCUUGCAGAUGAAGCAGGAACAAGAGGAGGGAAUGGAGAAGGCAGAGAAUUAAGGAAUUACAGUGCAAAUUAUAUGCUUGUGGGAAAAAAAAAACAAACACAAAAGAAAAAGGUUCUCUGUAGAUUUUCCAAGCCUGUUCUCUCCAUUGCCUCAAAAUAGGGUUGGUCUUUGUCAGGGAAUAAGUUCCAACUGACCCUAGACCUUCAACAGAAGGCAGGAGCGUGUUCCCCAAAGCAGUGAACUUGCUGUCACACUGUGUAUCAGCAAUGCCCGAGAGAUGCAACAUCACCACCUUUUCAUCACCCACUAAUCACGGCAGGACUCCACCAGAAAGUGCAGUGGGAGUCUCAGGUCUUCACGUUCCUCUUAUAUUAUUCAUUUGUAGCAGAGAUUUGCAAGUCCCUGUGCUGUAUUCACAGUGGAAAAAAAGUGCAGCAACACAUGUUGGAGACACUCCAGGAAUUAUUGCUCUGCUGAGGCAGCUUGUGGAGCCUGACUAAAGAAAAUUGGCCAAAGAAGAAAUAAGGGCAGGCCUAAAGAGGAAGACAGAGAAAGAAAGGAAUUGCUCCAGGCACCAACACAUCCUAGUUCCUGCCUACUGCCAGAAAGGUGCUGUAAUGGAUCCUGUCUCCUGUAAGCAGCACAAGCAGUUGUGUAGGGUUGAUCAGCAGCAUAUUUGGACAGUCUGUGGCAGGUGUUGGGACAGUUCACUGCCACCUGUAGAUAUUCACCGCCUUCUCUGUCAGAGUAGCCAGGAGGUGGGUUUGGUUCACUUCCAAGGGGCAGAUAUCCAGCACAGGCAGGUCAGCUGGCAGCUUCUGCAGCAAGGAACCACUUCCAGCAUCCCAGAGCUGUGGGAGGGACAGACAAGGUCAAGGACUGAAGGAUUCUCCCCUCCCAUCCAGAAGAGACCUUCCUCUCUCCAGAAAAGACUUUCCUCAAAUUACUUACAGGACCCUUUCUCUACUUCCACACCUUGCUUGGAUGGUUUUUAACAGAAUCACAGCAUGAUGCCACCACAGCCACUCUGACCCCACUCAUGAGCUCUCCUCCUCUUCCCUGUCAUUCCUAAAGAGCCUGCAUCCUUCCCUCACAGCACUUACCUCAUUAGCUACCCCACCAAGUCUGUUACACCACUUAGAGUGCCCAGUUGUGCCAGUGUGCCCAACCCCAUUCCUCUGGGGGACAAGAGGGGCUCACUGCCUACGCACUUUUCAAUGGAUGGGGACCACAGGCCUUGGCUAAGAUCGAGUCCCAUGUUAUCAGGAAGUUACACCUGCUACAGAAGUACAACACACCAACCAGCACAGGGUAAUGUCCAUGGCAAGACAAUUCCCACCAAAUCACACUGAUGCUGUGACUGAUGAGGCUUCUCUCCUAUGAAUUGCAAUAAACCCCUCCAGCACACUGAAAGGAGCAAGAGAUACCAGGGCAGAAUUGGACGCCUCAUCACCAGCACACACAAAGACGCUCCCGUCAUCCUCCGGGCUCUGGAAAAUGGCAUUUUUGGUCAGCAACUUGCAGGUGGGCCCAGCACUGAAAGUCUGAACCGGGUUAGAAGAACACACCACAUCUUCAGAGGCCUCUGUCAGUGGGCUGCAAGUCAGUUCCAUCAUCACACAACGCACACAUGGGUUAUUUUUACCUGUGUGGUAGAAAUACAAAGGUAACCUUUGGAAAAUGUACUCACAGAUAGGCUUCAGCUGUAGGAAUACAAGCAGCACCACCCUGCAGCUGCCUCCUUUCGCCCUCCCCCAGUUCUUAUGUAUGUGCAAAUGCUCAUUGCUGUGCUGGGGGCACAUGCUGCAUUUCUGCUGUGCCCCCAAGCUGGUGCUGAGCUGAGCCCCAGCAGUGAGUGGCACUGAGAGCCCUGCAGAGCCCCCCGUCCGUACCAGGCCUGUACGUGGCCAGGCAGUGCCGUGUGUUGAUCUCAGUUUGGAUAUCGAUGCAGCCCCCGGGCUCCAGGGGCAGGUGAUGGGGCCGGUAGGAGUUGCCAGCUCUCUGUUCCCAAAAGCAGGCUCCUUCCAAGGUCCCAGCCAAUAUCCCGCCGUAGGGCAGCGACGCCGAGGCCAUGCGGGGCAGGUAGGACAGUGACACCAUGGGGCACCUGCAAGGGGGACAGGCAAGAGUCAGUGCUGCCAGCUGCAGCUCUGCUGGCAUCCUGCUCGCUGCUGCAGAGCUCCAGCCUCUCCAACUGCACAGCAAAGAAAGGGCCUAAGCAGGCUCUGAGAUGGUCCUUCAAGCAAGGAACCCCAGUGGCAUGUCAAGUAUAAAUGGAAUUCAACUUAACUACCGAGCCUUAGGUUUUACAGAGCAUUAGACAGCACACAUCAGAUGAGUGCAAAUCAGUGUUUGAUUCCUGGAGUACAAGAGACAGAAGUAGCAGAAUCUCACACCUUUGUGUGAUUUGUCCUUCCAAUUAAAUACUAAACCCAGCUCCAAAACAAAUUCAAUUCUCCUGCUUACGCUGCACCAGUGGGUCCAUUUCUGACCUAUGUGUGCCUUAAAAAGAGCACAAGUGCUUGGCACCUGUGAAAGUUACACAUGAUACAUGUGCUAAAUGUGAAUUUUUGAACAAGAGUUUCACAUAAACCAACUAAACCCACUGCAAUUGCUGUGUGAAGCUGUGUUUAAGUUAAUGCAUAUAAGUUGAGAGGAAUGACAAAUCCUUAUGCCACACCUGGACUUCUGAGGGACCAGUUCUUGGACGUGAGAGUUGGUGUCCCUCAGAUCAUAUAUCAUGAUAGAGCCAUUGACCAAUCCAGCGUAGACAUAGUUUGUAUCAUCGAGACACCAGCAGCAGCUCCAGACAGGACGGCCAGCAUUGUAUGUCUGCACCACAGUGUUGGUUGCCAAGCUGCAGAAGAAAAGCAAAGUGUUGGCUGGUUGCACAGGCAUCUACUGAUGAGAAAAAAGCAUAAUUAAGAUUGAUCUUUGGAGACUGGGAGAGGAAAUCUCACAGCAGGGUCUCAGCUGCCUUACUGGCAAGAGAAAGCUAAGUUACUUUUCUGGAAACAAUUAGGAGAAGCGACUCUGGUGUGAUCCCGUAACACCGUGUAUUCCUGAGAUCACAGGGCUCAUCUCUUCAGAUUACAUCUCUCAUUAAUUACUUCCCCUUUUUUUACACAAGAGGAACAGUGCUUAUGCCUCAAAAGAACCAAUUUAAGCAAGAGUGAGACAGGGAGUGGGUAAAGGACAGUUGAGAGCACAUUUAUUCUGUUAAUUCUUCCUUCCACAAGUCGAGUUUCUAAAAAAGAGAGGAGUACAUAGAGGGGCAUAACCCAGAACAGCAGAUGAAGCUGGUAUCAGAUCAGGGAUUUGCAAAGGGCAGCAUUGUCAACAUGGGUUUUGCACACUGAGAACAGCAUGAGACAGAAGACAGCACAUAUCAAAGUAACUCUGGAUAUCCUUUACAACACAGGGGCUUCUCCCUGGGGAAGGUGAUUACACUCAGGACUCCAGAGAAACAAGUAAUUGCUCUCAGGUGAGUAUAAGGGGAAAAACUACAAGGACAAAACUGAGCUGGGGAAAGAGAGAGUUGAUAUCAGAGAAGUGACUGGGUCAAAACAACAAGACCAAAAAAAACCCAAACAAACUCACAGUGCUAUUUUAAACAAUUGCAAGCCAGAGCAGGAGACAUAAAGACAUCUUGGAUAAUUCUUUUUCAUAGGAUGACUAUGAAAUGAGUAACUAGAGAAGAAAGAUAACCAAAGGAAGAAUAUUCUUUCAGAGACUGAAAAAAGUAUGAAGAUGCUGCUGAAGCAAGCACCUAACUCCAAGACAUCCUGGGAUCAAGCACAAAAGCAAGAGGAUCACAAGCUCAGAUGCAGCCAACCAGGCAGUGAGAGGCAGAUAUGGGAGUCAAGUGUCUGAGCAGACACUGCAAUGAGGAACCACUCUCCAGAUUAAAUCAUGAAAAGAAUAUCAUCGUAAUCAGUUGGAAAUGUGACACAUUGACUUCAGCAUCAGAGGCAGCUUUGUUUACUUUUAACUAGUCUAGCAAACAUUUCAACAUGGUCACAGGAAAGCAACAUUCUGUACAUUUUUGCUGUGGGAUUAAGUUCUCUUCAUUGCUUCACUAGUGAGAAAGAAUUGGGACUAAUCAGUCAAACAACAGACACCUAUCCUGCCCAACCUGACACGGACAGACAGAUUGCAAAGAUGUUAAUUUAACUCAAUAAGAAUCAAUCAGCCAAUGAAGCUUUGAAGCAGUGUAAGAUUAAGAUUGAAGAGCAGCAGAGUAGCAAGAAAACACACUCAUAGGCUGUAAAUUCUAUCAGGACCGGACACAUUUUUGUCUCACUCUCUGCAUAAUUAGUCUCCAACCUGCUGGUUUAAGUCUCUGCUAGCUCUAGAGAGCCUCUAGCACAUGCUGUUUAUGAGUUUCAUAUCCCAGAUGAAUUCCAUGCUCUGCAAGAAGUUUAAAAUCUGAGAAGCCAACAUCAGGCUGUGCAAAGAAGAACAGAGCACAGGCUAAACACCUCUUGUUUCUGUACAAACACCUCUCUUUAUGCCGUACAAGUUCCUACACUUCACAUUUCCCUGCAGUAACAGAAAGCCAUGUGGACAGUAAAUUUCAUGUCUAUACAUUAUGCUACAUUUAUUCUCUCCACAGCUUGGCCAAUCCAUGCUAAAUUCCUUGUUCUCCACCGAGUUCUCCACAGGAAAACUACUACAGAGGGGCAGCUCCAUAACACCUCCACCUAAAAGAUGCAAAACCGUCAAUAAGUCCUUCCCUCUGUUAGCUCCCACAUGCAGGAAGAAUACCCAGACCUGCUCUCAUCUUUGCAGCAUCUUUCAGAAAGCAGACUAGCAAGUGCUGCAAGACAUUUCUAGCAAGACAGAACAAAAUCCAGUGCAGCCAAAGCCCGUGGGGACAGGGCUCACCUGGUGAGUUUGAGAGUUCCAUCCAGAGCAGCCGAGAGCAGCAAACCAUCCGCUCGAGUGCCGAAAGCCAGGCCCCGGAUCUGCUUGCUGUGGAUGGGGACGUACUGACUGCUCUUCAGGUUGGCCAAGCUCAUCAUCUUAACACCACAACCUGCCACAGAAGAAGGACAAAGCAGGUCAUGGUGAAGCAGCACACACAGGACUGGCUGUUCUGUGCCAGAACUGCAGCGUCUGUCCUGUCUGAAGCCUGUGGUGGGAUGAACACAUAAAAGUUAUUUGCUGUUCUGGAAAAGAACAAAAUCAUUCUUUAAUUCAAAUGGUAACAAGGCUAAAUCCUUAAGGACCCCAGCCACCAAGAGCAAAUUCAGUAUCAGUGUUACAAUUCCUGUUACAAGGCCUGCUGCUCUUUAGGCAGCUUCUUCAAAGACACUCUUGCCCAGAUAAAACCACACAGAGCAGGAUUACAUGGCUAUUAAAGAGAACAAGUGUCACAGCGAAGAAUGGUUACAGGUGAACUUAACCUGCAUGCUACAAGAGUCACCACAAAGCCUCCAUUCAUUCAUUCCUUGGCCUCGAAUGCCAGAAAAAUAAGACCAGUUGAAUGCAGAAAACCACUUUGUUCUGCCUGGAUAAGGCACGUUAACCUCAAACCCAUUAACCAAAUAAAGUAAGUUUCAUCAUUCAGAAAGCAUUUUGCAAAUAAACACUCUCAGACUCCUAAUGCCACAUCCAUUGCCCUGAAAAAGCAACUGGCGCUGGUCCAGAUGUCAGGUCACUGGCCCCUGGACAUAACAGUGAGACAAAACCAGGGCUGCCCAUGACUUCUUGGCUUCCUAUCUCCUCUUUAGAAAACAGUGCUCCUAGCAUUCAUAUUAAAAGGGUUUUGCUUUUGGGUUUUUGUGGAGGUUUUUUUGUUGUUGUUGUUUUUUGGGGGUUUUUUAUGAGUAUUGAGAAAUUAGCUGCAUGUGGAUCAAUCCACCUACAGUUAGGGGAGCAGUGUUUCUCAUUUAACCACUGGAAGCUUCUCUGCUUCUUUCAGAAGACUCACCUUUGCACAGAGUACCAGAUACAUGUUUUGCCUUCUUGUGGAUAUGGCACUCCAGCAGGAGAGCCAGAGACCCUCUGCUAGGAUUCUGCCAUAGAACUGCCAGGGGAAAGGAGCUUCUUUGCUAGGCAGAAGCUACUAAUGCAGGGGCAGAUGAAUUAGGGGGAGUGUUAUGAGUGUACUCAUAAGUUUACAAGGCACGUGCAAAGGUCAAGCAGAGAAGUAGGGAGCAACAAAAAAAGACAUUUAACUUUCACUUAUGAACCUCCAAAUCUUAACUUGCUUAAUUACCAGGAAUGAAAGUAGACUGUGGAGAAGGCUGUGACACCACAAGGCAGCUCAUGGAGUCACAGUAUGCCAUCACUCGGCAGUUCCCAGCCUGAGACACCAAGAGAACCUUUUCCAGGUGGUACUUGCGCUGGCUCUGGCUGGAGGGGAGGCUCCCUGGGAGGCAGGGCCGGGAGCUGCCGGGUUGCUGCGAAGUGCUCACGUUGUGCUGGGCCACCAGAGCCUUCAGCUCCUGCAAAGACAAAACCCCGAGAGCUUGAAUGCGUCACCAGCGACGUAACCUGCCGUGCUACCUGCUCCAGAGGCUCCAAGUGUACUUGUUCUCAGACAAAGGGGGGGAAAUAUGGUCCCAUUUCCAUGCUGUUCCUGAAGGGCUGCAUUUCUAAGCCUGUGGCCUGUGACAGUGAGCAACAGAAGCACUCAAAUGCUACGCAAGUCCUGGCAGAAUGUACUCAAAGUCUGUUGUUGUGUGUAUUACACCCUGUGAAAGAGAGGACUCUUGGGCAACACAUAAAAGCCGGUACCAAUUACCAGAUCAAUGCUGUCUAGAAGAGAAUGAACUGCCAAGUAUUACGUGCUGCUAAACCACAAGAGAAAGUCAAUUAAAACCAUUUUCCAGAAUUUCCAGAAUACCCCAUAAAAAAAUAAAAGCCCGAGUUUCAACAUAAAGGGCAUUGCAGGAAACAAGUCAGUCUAUUUAAUGACGAUGAUCCUGUUCUUGUAAACCCUGGGCAGCAAAUUCCAGGAAUGACACAACUCUCAAGAGCUCCAGUCCUGUUUUCCACCACCUCCUCCCCCCUUCUUCCUCCACCUCAACUGAUGAAUGCUCAAGGAUGCUCAGCAAAGGCAUGGCCAAGAACAGCUUCCACGAGCAGCAAGGUAUUCCUUGAAUUCCCUUUUCCACAGAGAUCAUCAGGGGGGAGGUGGGAAUUCAGGUAGUGGCACUGACAUAUUGUGAGUCACCUAAAAGUGCACCCUCCCCAAAAGCAUUUUGACCAUCUUUUAUCCAAGGUCAAAACAAGAUGGUACAGAACCCCAGGGACAUUUAGGACAGAGGGUAUAUAUAAAGAGAAUUGCUACUUGCUUUCUGUUGUCUGAGCAAUGCAGAUUAGGCUUCAAACACUAUGUAAUCUUUAAACAAUUAAGGGCCACAAGAGUGAUAUUAUGAAUAUAUCAGUAAUUGCAAGUCAGCCUCAAUACUGAACCAGCCACCACUGCUUAACUCACAUCGAAGCAGAGGCAGCAGUUUUCAAAGAGGCAAGAUCAAAGAUCAAGCUCUACAUUAAUAGUUAUCAAGACCUAUAACUUUUGGAAACUGCUCAAGAGGAGAGCAAUUCUGACACCUUACAGACGUCUGAUCUGCUUUGCAUCAAGCACAUUGCAAAUUCCUCAAGGGAACAUAAAAAUUAAAAACAAAAUAAAAAUUGAAGCUGAAGUCUUGAGAUGAUCCCAUUGGAGUGAGCAAGACAAAACAACCUGGGCAAGGAAGAAGGGCUGUGGGGGUUGCCAGGAUGCUUAAGAUGGGAGCUACAGCUUCAGGCUUAGAGUAAGCACUCAGUGAAAACACAGGUAACUUAGAAGAAAGUUACUUUUAAUCAAAAAUUUAAUAAACUCAUUAUUUCUAAAAGGGGGAUGGAGGCAAUCACCACUGAGGAUCAGAAGAGAUUAAAAUUAUUUGUUCCUCUGGGGACCUUAUGAAACUCUCCUUGUCACCUGCACUCAACAUUCAACUUUUACACAAGUUAUUAAAAAGGAAACCAGGCAAUUAAAAUCACAAAGACUAUUAGUACAAUGUUUACAUUUAAACACAAUGGACAAACCCAGCAGAAUCAGGAAGUCUGACUGGAAGCGCAUUACCAAGGUGAUUAAAAAUGCUGCACUCCAGACGAAUUCCACUAAUUGUGCUCAAAAGAACGUUCUGUUGGUAACAUAAAGCUACACCUUCCUUCAGAUGCUUUGCAGAGUUUUCCUGAUGCCCGGUGUUAACUAAGGACCUUGAGGGCAGACUCCACUCUCUGCACAUGCUAUGACUGUCUCUAAAUUUCAGCUUGCCCUUGCAGUGAUGAAUGAACACAGUCACACAGGUGGGGAAACAAAAGGCUGUACAGCAGAAGUCUUCCUGAGGAGCGUGCAUGAGAAGUAGAAGCAGGAGAGCACAACGAAUAGGAAAGGAAACCCACCAGCUGCAAUAAAUUCAGAACAGUUUUGAGUGUUAGGUUACAGCCUUAAUAGCUGAUAUGAAGCUUUAAAGACUAAGGCAGGUAUCAGAUGUCACUCUGGCUGUCUCCCACAGACCUCUUAGAGAGGCCACACCUGCCACCUCGGCUGCACAGCCCCAGUCCUGCACCAAAGAGAGAGAAACACAGGGCAGGACAACCUCCAGCUGUGGUGCAGCACUGCAGCCAUCCCACCUUCCACCUUCCUUUGGGGCUCAGGUUCAGAUUCAGGCUAAGGGACGUGGAGCAUUUUUACCUGGCUUAACUACAAGCAACAGCAAUGAAAUAUCAGCUUUUACUACCCCAGACAUCAACUGGAGGUGAACACAAAGAUCAUAGAGAUGAACAAAACCAUUAGCCUAAUUUCUUUUCUAGAGGUAUUAGAUACACAAGUUUUUAUUGAUAUUUUGCCAUCCAAUUUUUUUGGAUGCUCUGAAAAUCCUAUUUUAAAAAUGCUUUUCCAUUACAUUGAGCAAUAUAAACUAAUCUCUGCAAGGCUCACAAUUACAUUUGCUUUCUUCUCCACAGCAGCCUGCAGUCUCCUGUUGUUUCCCUGCUAGUCAUCCCUUUCCUGCUCCAUAUCCAAACAGAGCUACUGUUUCCCACUUGCAAAAAUGAAUCUCCUAUCCCAGUUGAUCAGUGGUAUUAAUGCCAGAAGCCAGAGAUGGUUUGCUGAUCAUUAGCUAACUUUUACUGGAAAUGUUGGCAUAUUCAGGAGUCCUGCAGUAGCUCACAUCCGGUUCCCAAGUUCUUUCUGCUGCCAAAGGAAAAACUUUAGGUAAAAGUAAGGUGUCAGUAGCACUGUUUCCAAAAGGCAAGCCUGAACCUGCCACACAGGAUGCAGAACACAGCUCAGCACAGCCCACACUCCAGGUUUACAUAUGGAAACACUGCUGAGGGCUUUCUUCCAGAGCUUUAGUUAGCUACCUCCCCUCAACUUCCUUUCCUCAUAUAUUUUCAUAUAGCUAAAGACUUAAAAACCACCCAUGUCCUAGUGUCAAUCAUGUUAAAUACCUCAAUAACAAAGCACAGUGGACAAGAUGGUUAAUGGACAAGAGCAGUGAAAAACACACACAAAUCUAGGAAAAGGUCACAACUAGAGCCAUGACUGCUGCUGGGGCACAGCUCAAGAGCACUGGCAAGAAAAAAGGGUUCAUGAUGGCUUUUGAGGGGAGUCCACACCCUGAGCAACCCAACCCUACACUGGAAUCACCCCACUAGAGUUGGGACAGAAACCUCCAGGAGUCCCUCCUAACCUAAAUGCUUCUGUGCAAGUAGUUUCUUUACUACAUGACUUCUCAUAAAACAAGGAAUUCAUUAGGCACAUGCUUAAAAUAUCAUUGAACAACUUAGACUUAUUCCAGACUUCCUGCUGAUUUUUCUUUUUGCUCCCCAGCAAAUUGUUUUACUUUCAGUUUACUCAUAGUAUAAAUAAGCACCUUAAAAACUGCUUCCAGCAUUGGCAUUAACCACUACAGGACAGUGAUGAAUGCAGUAUAAAUACUGAAACAGAGCUUACAGAACACAGGGUACUUAAUCUUUAUAACAUGCGACUUCAACUCAGUUAGACUGGAUACUCUAUCAUUUAACACCAAAUGAAUUGCAGGAGAACAUUAUGGACCUGCACUUCUAUCUUAUUCGCAUUUUUCUUAAGCCAAAGCUUGAAGUGGACCAAUUUUCUUAUUAGUGCUGAUGAGCAUACAGCUCCAUGCAGGAAUUUAGGUGAUUUAUAAAGCCUUAUCUUACAUCAGGCAGGAAAACAUCAGCAAAGAGGAUGGUGUUUAAUGUACAGAUAUGAAUAGCCAAGGCUACAAAGAAAUCCAUGAGUAAAGAAAAGCAUAAUAUUAAGUGGGUCACUAGACAGUGAGAGAAUAGGUAUCAUCUACUCAUAUAACUAAAGGUAGCAAACUGGCAAUGAAACAGGCUCAUGGAAAACUCAGCACUGGAGGAACACGCCAGCUAAUGCCCACUUGGCAGCACCAGCAUAGUCCACAACUUAUAGGAAUCCUGCAAAAGCAGCUGGGAUGGGUUACAAAGUACCUCAGUAUUGCACAAGCCAGAAAGGAAGCAGUUUAGCAACUGGUCAUUUAUUGUUAGUAAUUUGCAUUCUAAGAGGGCAGAGGUGCCUUUCAGCAGCUGCUCAGUCCGUGCAUACAGCCUCCCCUACUGACAGGCCAGCUCCCAGGGGACCAGAAGGUGCUGAACUAGAAUGUUGACUGACUCUCAAAAAAAAAAAAAAAAAAAAAAAUUAGGUGUUUUUUUGUUUUGUUUUCUCUUGAUUUUGCAAAUGCACACCUCUUGACAAAUUGCUUCUCAAAAAAUUAUUCUUGAGAAUAAUUACUGAUAAUAGGUCCUAUUACAGGUUUACUGUAGAGAUUUUUCAAAGCUUCUUUUGAUGCAACUACAAGAAAGAUGAGGAGAAUAAGUCUGGUUCUCCAUUACCAGGCCUUUCCAGGCACCACAAAACCUGAAGAGGAUCCUGCAACAUCAGCAGCCAAACAACUCUACUGCUAGGCUGCAGCUUCAAUUAAGUCUUAAAAUGCACAAAAAAUAAGUCACUGUUAUGUAGCACAUACCUCAAUAUGCCAACCUGAGAUAUUCACCAGCCCGGGAUGAUUCACCAGCUGAGUUUACUAAAUCUUUCUGCUCAUUAAAACUGGAAGCCUGUGUUUUCUCCUCCAAGGGAACGUGCAAAACCAGGCUGAAGCAAAAGGGAAUCCUUUGUGUAUAAAUAUCCUGAGACUCACCUGAACUUGCCUGCGGAGUUUGCUGCAUUCAUCCGUCAGAACCUGGAGCUGGAGACGGCUCUGCGCAGAUUCCAGCUCCGCCUGUCUCCGCAACAUCUUCUCCUUUUCUAAAGAGCUGGAGGAAGAAGAGAAAAGCAACCCUUAGGACUAGGUAUUAUCCAGGAUGCUCCUUUGGGCUGUCAACACCUGUCCUCUGACUUCAUCCCAGCUGAAGUCCUGUUCAGGCAAAUCCACAAGUGACAGAAAACCUGGUACCACACUCAUCCAGCACCCUCACCUCGAGAUGUGCAGUUAUGCAAUUGUUCUGAAUGACUCACUCAAGUAUUGUUCCAUAGGAACAACAGGCUUUCUUCUCACCAUCUUCAAAAGUACUAAUUUAGUAGAGGAGAGUGAAAGAGAAAUCAGGUUUUCUUUCCCCUAAGAAACACUUCAGCAAAUCCUAUGUCAUCAGUGUCCACAUAAUACACUGUGUCAGUAAUAACAGAAGUCAAAACACAGCAAGAUUUUCAAGCUUGUCUCUACUAUCAGUAACUAAUCUUGUACUUCAAGAAAAUAUAACUGUAACAGAAACAGAAUGAUACAGAGAAAUUCUCUGUGAAUACCCAUUUAUAAAUAAGCCACACCUACCACCUCACCUUGAGCCUAAAAGUGCAUACACACCAUUUAGCAGCAGCAGUUUUGCUAACUUACUUGAACUCCUUUUUCAUACAGGCUUAUAUGAAGGGAUAGUUAAAGAAGAGGAAGAAACACCAGUACUCCUUAAAAAUAGCUGUACAUUUAGACUAUAAUGUUGACCACUGCAUUCUGCACUUUAAAAGCUGCAAUAUUCCAGUUAUUUCAGUAGUUCAUGUGCAGGGAGCUGUUGCUUGCCUAAGUAUUUUCCAAAUGCACAGACCUAGCCUUGCAUGUUCACAAAGCACAGAAUUCUGUCAUUUCCAUAUGGCUUUUUCAUGUGAUAUUUUUCCUGCAGAAGAAACAACUGAAAUGCUGUAUUUAAGCAUCACAAACACAUUCUUUACACAAGUACCCAGGGCCUGAAGGCUGGUGGUUUUUACUGAAUGUGAAGAACAAACCCCACGAUCUUGUACCUAAUUCAAGGCUACAUGCAAACAAUACUGAUGCAUGCACACACACAUCCCUGCUCCAGUCAUGGCUGGGUGCCACCAAGCAGCCACUGCCAGCAGCUCCAUGACCCACAGGCAGUCACUGCUGUCUGCCUCACAACAAAAACAGGAGGCAGAGGAGGGGCAGGGCAAGGGGGAAGGGCUGCAGCGAGAUUGAGACACAAGCAGCAGUCAGACGACUGGCUCUCCAGGAGAGAGAAAAUGUAAACACCCAAAUGCCUUCUGUGCUUUUGAAAAAAAUCUUAUAUGUUGUUUAUUUUCCAGUGUCAAUCCAGUAAAAGCAGCGUGACCCUUCUAAAGGUACAGUUGAAACACCAUCGGGCAGUGUCAAUCUGGACAGAAGAGAGAUUUUUGCCUUCAUGACCCUUACUCCUCAAUCACUUCUGCUCAGUAAUUACCAGGAUACUGAGGUUUCCAUUGAAAGACUGCCUUGAAAUAACAGUGGUAUAGUUACAGACACGUGAAGAAACCCCAAUUAAAAUCUAUUCACCACAAGAUUCAGAAGAACUCUGAUAUCUGCAGCCUUUAAUUUCAGAACAGUAUCUGUGACAACAUCUUACUGAAAAAAAUUCAUCCCCUGCUUUUUCUUUUUUCAAUGCAAAGUCUACAUUUAAGUUGGAAGGGGAAGUAGAGUCAUAGUUAUGCUUGCUGACCUUUUGUAAGUAAAGCUACAUGAAGAAUUUGACAAAGCAAGAUGGGAAGUGAUUCAUAUGAGUGACUACUCUGUUUAAUGUGUGCAGAAAAGAUGGCAGAAAAGGUCAGCUAUUCACCCCUUGCAUUCCCAACUAUGCCUCGCUCUUCCCACCUAAUGAUGAAUUAGCAAUAUACAGCUUUUUGGCAUCAACUCUGCAUGUCCUCCCAUGAUAACAUUUCAGGAUACAGCCCAAGAUAGCUUUUGCUGUUUCAGGGCCACAAAAUGCAAACUUGAGAAUUCUGUUCCAAAAGAAAAUUAAGACAGGUGCAACACAGCAAGGCCUUGGGUUUUUUUUUUAAGCCAGCCAUACUCCUGCUAAACCUCGAGGGAAUGCACAAAUUGCUUUAGAAGACAACAGAGGAAAUUAAAGCAUGAAGCAGAAGCCAGAGUGCAGCUUCCAGUACCUUCUCAUGCGCUCCUGCUCACUGGUGUCCAGCGCCUUCAGAGUGCGGGCGUACAGGACCACGAUGUCCGAGCGCUUGGCUUUCUUGUUGCACUGAAAUAAAAGACAAGCUCAGGUCACCUACAAGAACUUAA
Long non-coding RNA from Pipra filicauda (Wire-tailed manakin), 17755 nucleotides. RefSeq lists it as uncharacterized. The record is from RefSeq and is a predicted model, not a curated record. NCBI's taxonomy places the organism in Eukaryota, Metazoa, Chordata, Aves, Passeriformes, Pipridae. The transcript is spliced from 2 exons.